RNAcentral lists this ribosomal RNA (834 nucleotides) under uncultured bacterium. Its description in RNAcentral is "bacterial SSU rRNA". It matches the Rfam family "Bacterial small subunit ribosomal RNA", at positions 8 to 853 of the family's 1533-position model. The record is from RNAcentral.
AGAGUUUGAUCAUGGCUCAGGACGAACGCUGGCGGCGCGCCUAACACAUGCAAGUCGAACGGAGUUAAGAGGAGCUUGCUUUUCUUGACUUAGUGGCGAACGGGUGAGUAACGCGUGAGUAACCUGCCUCAGAGUGGGGGAUAACAGUUGGAAACGACUGCUAAUACCGCAUAAGACCACGGGGUCGCAUGGCCCUGAGGUAAAAGGAUUUAUUCGCUUUGAGAUGGACUCGCGUCCAAUUAGCUGGUUGGUGAGGUAACGGCCCACCAAGGCGACGAUUGGUAGCCGGACUGAGAGGUUGAACGGCCACAUUGGGACUGAGACACGGCCCAGACUCCUACGGGAGGCAGCAGUGGGGGAUAUUGCACAAUGGGGGAAACCCUGAUGCAGCGACGCCGCGUGGAGGAAGAAGGUUUUCGGAUUGUAAACUCCUGUCGUAAGGGACGAUAAUGACGGUACCUUACAAGAAAGCCACGGCUAACUACGUGCCAGCAGCCGCGGUAAAACGUAGGUGGCAAGCGUUGUCCGGAAUUACUGGGUGUAAAGGGAGCGCAGGCGGACCGGCAAGUUGGAAGUGAAAACUAUGGGCUCAACCCAUAAACUGCUUUCAAAACUGCUGGCCUUGAGUAGUGCAGAGGUAGGCGGAAUUCCCGGUGUAGCGGUGGAAUGCGUAGAUAUCGGGAGGAACACCAGUGGCGAAGGCGGCCUACUGGGCACCAACUGACGCUGAGGCUCGAAAGUGUGGGUAGCAAACAGGAUUAGAUACCCUGGUAGUCCACACCGUAAACGAUGAUUACUAGGUGUUGGAGGAUUGACCCCUUCAGUGCCGCAGUU